UUUUAUUAUUAUUUUAGAAGAAAGAAGGAAACCAAUGGUUAAAUAAAGUUGGAAGCAGCAGCAAAGCUAGUAAAUGACAAGAAUGCGUUUUUUAUUUUGUUUACCUAGGUAAUAUGUUUUGUUUGUUUAGAUACUAUACCUAAGAAACAUGUGUGUAGCUUCGUGUGGGAGGUAAAAAGGGGAUGGAGCAAAGAAAGAAAGAAAGAGAAAGAAAGAAAUGUGGUUUUUAAAAAUACUCCUUUGUGUUUAUUUAAUUUAUACCCUAUUUUUUUUUCUCCCAACACUGGGCUUAAGACAGAAGGAAAACUGAAAACUGAAGAUGGGAUAAAAGAAGAGAGAAGAAAGGAAGAGAGAAGGAAGGAAGGAAGGAAGGAAGGAAGAAGCAAAGGAAGAAAGGAAAGGACAAUAAAGCAUUGCAAAGGUGUGGAUGAAUUGAAGCUGGCUCAGUGAAGUACAAAGGAGAAGCCAUCGCUCUUCCAGAUCUGGAGACCACAAAAGGGUUGGCAAAGAUUUACCCGGCAUGUUGCUGCUAUUGAUUUACAGAGCUCACUUCCAGCAACUUCGAGGAGACCAGCGUUUUGUCAAAACAAAAAGCAACAUCCAACAUCUCAGCCAUAAAUCCAGGGCCAGAGAGGCAAAGAACACCCUCCUUCCCCCCGCAGAGGAUCUGGUCUUGCACAAGGAAAUUCAUCAGCGGCUCCCAGUCUUCCUUGCAGCCUUCCCAGGAUUUCCCUCUCAAUAAAGUAAGGUCAGUUUAUCCAUCUCUAUGUAUUCUAUUAGUUUAUCGCGCCAU
Sceloporus undulatus (fence lizard) is the source of this 793-nucleotide long non-coding RNA. RefSeq lists it as uncharacterized. The transcript is spliced from 3 exons. The record is from RefSeq and is a predicted model, not a curated record. Lineage: Eukaryota; Metazoa; Chordata; Lepidosauria; Squamata; Phrynosomatidae.